Corticium candelabrum is the source of this 594-nucleotide long non-coding RNA. RefSeq lists it as uncharacterized. Lineage: Eukaryota; Metazoa; Porifera; Homoscleromorpha; Homosclerophorida; Plakinidae. The transcript has 3 exons. The record is from RefSeq and is a predicted model, not a curated record.
CUAGGAUCACUUGUUGUUGGUGAAUUGCAUCUUACUCUCAGUCAGCAUGGGUCUGUACUGAAGGUAUUGUUGUCAACCGGUCGUCGACUUGUCUCUGUGUACGGCAACACAUCGUGGCCGUGCGUUCGGCUGUCUGUACGUGGCAGACGAGGUAAAGUAUUGAAACAAACCAGUCAGGUCGUUGAGUCUUGGGAUCCACAAUUCAAUAAUACAUUUGUCUUCUCGUUGUCAUCAUCACACAGUAAACUGUUGCAGGUCAGUGCAUUGGCGAGCUGUGAUGAGCCAAAGUGUAACACAUUACUCGGAGAGACAUUGAUCGCUCUCAACAGUCUGGAGCUGUGCAGACGAACGAUCAGCGGAUGGUACAAGCUGUUUCCUUUGCCAUGCAAAAUAUGAGCAGUGGUGAGCAGCGAAGUUCGAGUUUAAUUAAUUAAUAUUAAUUAACAUUGCACACUGCAGUGUGGUUACUUAACAUUGUGUUGUGACUCGGUGAGAGCCGAUUGCGUUAUGGCAUGUGCAACUGCAUGAAAUCAUUGAAUUCAACAAGCAAAUUUGUAUUGCUGUCAAGAGUUGAUUUGAAUAAAAAUUGCAUUU